AUAGUCCCCCGGCGCAGCACUCCCUAGCCCUCUGUAUCCCCUUUGUGCAGCCAUCUCCUCUUUGCCCCAUAGUCCUCUGGGGCAGCUGCUCCCCCAUCCCUUUCCCACCACAGUCUCCCUUAUGCAGCUACCCCAGCCCCUCAUGGCCCACCUUGUGCAGCUACCCCCUUCCUUUCCUCCAUGCCCUCCUCCCCCAGUGCAGGUAUCCCCUCCCAUGGCUUUCCUGGUGCAGUUAGGUCUCUUGCCUACCCCCUCUGAUUCUCCUAGCUUUUCUGUUUUAUCCCCACUUCUUUUUCCAGAUGCCUGCACUGUUAUCUUCCUCCUUACUUUUCUCAAUCCCCCAACCCAGGAAUCCCCUCCCAUUGCUAUCCCUCCUUCCUGAUUCUUCAUUCUUCUUUUCUUCCAUUUAUUUACCCUCCCCUCCCAUCUUUUAUUUCCUUGCCAAUUCUCAACAUUGUGGCACCUUUUAUUUCUCUCUAACAUCCUUUCCCCCCUCCCCUUUCCUUGAUCCUUUUAAGACUUUUUAUUUUCUGCCUUUCCAAUUCCCUCUCCUAAAUCAACUUGAGGAUCUAAUUCCUCUCCUUUCCCCAAUACAGUUGGUACUCUUAGCAUACACUCCCACCCACAUAUAUUUCUUAGUAUCUUUUUUUACCUCUUAUCCCAGUUCCCCGUGAGCCCUGUAUAUUUCUGUUUUUUUCCACCAUUGCAAUCUGCCUGUCACUUUUAUUCUCUGUUCCGUACUCCAGCCCCUAGUCCCUUUUGUGCAUCUCUCUCUCCCUCCCAUCAUCUUCAUUCUUCUCUGCAACAGCUGGGGUUUCUGCAGUGUCUUUCUCUAGAUAGAGGGUGGAAAAGUCUUGCAAAAAUUAAAAGGAAGAACAGAGGAGGAAUGCCCGAUUCAUGCGCAGAUUGCAGCAUACCUGAAUGCCCCCAAGACAGAGUCAGCUCAAGAUUCCAAAAAAUGGAUGUCCAUAACUUACGAUAUAGUUCUGCUUUGGUAUUGCUGACUCAAACCACAGAAG
Chrysemys picta bellii (western painted turtle) is the source of this 1019-nucleotide non-coding RNA. Lineage: Eukaryota; Metazoa; Chordata; Testudines; Emydidae. The record is from RefSeq and is a predicted model, not a curated record.